AUUUUGCAUAGGUCGUGCUGGCCUAACUUAGUAUGGAUGUGUUGCACAAUCAGAUCAAUUGCAACAUGGUUAUCACCCCCACGCGGUAUGAUCACAUCAGCGUACUUCUUUGACGGCAGAAUGAAAUCAUCAAAAGCAGGUUUUACAAACUUUGCAUACUGUUCAAGAACAGAGUUAAUGUCCCUGCCCCUCUCUACUGUAUCACGUCUAAUUCUACGAGCA
RNAcentral lists this unclassified non-coding RNA (222 nucleotides) under Hevea brasiliensis (rubber tree). Lineage: Eukaryota; Viridiplantae; Streptophyta; Magnoliopsida; Malpighiales; Euphorbiaceae. The record is from RNAcentral.